CUGGGACCUCAGCAGGGGGUCGGCACCGCGCGCCAGCAGUAAACUAACCAUCUCAUAAUUCCCUGAGAGAUUGCGAAAGCAGGAGAGUGACCAGAGGAGAAGUACAGGAGAAAAGGGGAAACAGAUGGGCCAUAUUUUUAGGGAUUCCUGUUUGGGAUGGGAGUGACCAGCCUUCCCUGGCAGGCUGUAAAUCUGAGCUGGUGGAGGUUGGGAGAGGCUGGCAUGAGGGAGUUGUGCUACACACACCUGCUGCAGAUGCCAGCUGAAGAGGCGUCUCGACAUUGCUCUCCUGCCCGUUACGGACGGCUGCUCCUUCCACAUUCGCCCCAGCGUCUAACAGAAGCUGAAGAUACAGGCAUGCAUGUAGCGAAUGUGAGCGCCACCCAGUGACGGCUGUCUGGAUGGACUGAAGGGUGUUUGGGGGAGCAAACAGCAGUCUGGGCUCACAGUCCAGUCCAGGCAGGAGCAGCCGCGCCGUCUGUCUGACAUCAUCGCUGUCCACCAAUAAGCUGCGGCGAUGCUCCGCGUGAACGAUGGCUACACGCAUCCACUCCAUCAGCGGGGGGAGGAGGAGGAACGGCCUGAGGACAGCAGAAAACAGCAAGGCCAUCCUGGGCGGAUCCAGGUUGGGGUUCUCCAUGGACUCCAUCUGAGGGCAUCGCAGGAAGUAGUAGAGAGUGUGGAGGGCAUCCGGAGACCAGGAGACAGGCUGCUGGCGGGCAUGACGU
This is a long non-coding RNA of Onychostoma macrolepis, 728 nucleotides long. RefSeq lists it as uncharacterized. The transcript has 5 exons. Lineage: Eukaryota; Metazoa; Chordata; Actinopteri; Cypriniformes; Cyprinidae. The record is from RefSeq and is a predicted model, not a curated record.